Hypholoma sublateritium FD-334 SS-4 is the source of this 134-nucleotide small nuclear RNA. It matches the Rfam family "U4 spliceosomal RNA". From Rfam's summary of the family: U4 small nuclear RNA (U4 snRNA) is a component of the major U2-dependent spliceosome. NCBI's taxonomy places the organism in Eukaryota, Fungi, Basidiomycota, Agaricomycetes, Agaricales, Strophariaceae. The record is from Rfam.
UCUCUUGUGCUCGGGCAUGUACUGUUGCUAGUGAGGUUUCUACCGAAGCGCAGUUUUUUUGCUGAUUGCAAAUUAUACAUCCGAACCCGUCUGUUAGCUUCGGCUCUCAGCAAUUUUUGGGAACCUUUUGCAGC